This 305-nucleotide ribosomal RNA is filed under the name uncultured bacterium. Its description in RNAcentral is "bacterial SSU rRNA". It matches the Rfam family "Bacterial small subunit ribosomal RNA", at positions 333 to 636 of the family's 1533-position model. The record is from RNAcentral.
CUAUUCCUACGGGGGGCAGCAGUGAGGCCUAUUGGUCCCUGGGCGAGAUCCUGAACCAGCCAAGCCGCGUGAGGGAAGACGGCCCUAUGGGUUGUAAACCUCUUUUGUCGGAGAACAAAACCCGGGACGAGUCCCGGACUGCGUGUAUCCGAAGAAAAAGCAUCGGCUAACUCCGUGCCAGCAGCCGCGGUAAUACGGAGGAUGCGAGCGUUAUCCGGAUUUAUUGGGUUUAAAGGGUGCGUAGGCGGUCCGUUAAGUCAGCGGUAAAAUUGCGGGGCUCAACCCCGUCGAGCCGUUGAAACUGG